AACGAACGCUGGCGGCAGGCUUAACACAUGCAAGUCGAGCGAAGACUUCGGUCUUAGCGGCGGACGGGUGAGUAACACGUGGGUGACCUGCCCUCAGCUCUGGGAUAAGCCUGGGAAACCGGGUCUAAUACCGGAUACGACCAUUGGAUGCAUGUCUGGUGGUGGAAAGUUUUUUCGGCUGGGGAUGGGCCCGCGGCCUAUCAGCUUGUUGGUGGGGUGAUGGCCUACCAAGGCGGUGACGGGUAGCCGGCCUGAGAGGGCGACCGGCCACACUGGGACUGAGACACGGCCCAGACUCCUACGGGAGGCAGCAGUGGGGAAUAUUGCGCAAUGGGCGGAAGCCUGACGCAGCGACGCCGCGUGGGGGAUGACGGCCUUCGGGUUGUAAACCUCUUUCGCCAGGGACGAAGCUUUUGUGACGGUACCUGGAGAAGAAGCACCGGCCAACUACGUGCCAGCAGCCGCAGUAAAAC
RNAcentral lists this ribosomal RNA (473 nucleotides) under uncultured bacterium. Its description in RNAcentral is "bacterial SSU rRNA". It matches the Rfam family "Bacterial small subunit ribosomal RNA", at positions 28 to 526 of the family's 1533-position model. The record is from RNAcentral.